CCUACGGGUGGCAGCAGUGAGGAAUAUUGGUCAAUGGACGAGAGUCUGAACCAGCCAAGUAGCGUGAAGGAUGACUGCCCUAUGGGUUGUAAACUUCUUUUAUAAAGGAAUAAAACGAGGCACGUGUGCCUUUUUGCAUGUACUUUAUGAAUAAGGAUCGGCUAACUCCGUGCCAGCAGCCGCGGUAAUACGGAGGAUCCGAGCGUUAUCCGGAUUUAUUGGGUUUAAAGGGAGCGUAGAUGGGUUGUUAAGUCAGUUGUGAAAGUUUGCGGCUCAACCGUAAAAUUGCAAUUGAUACUGGCAGUCGUGAGUACAGUUGAGGUAAGCGGAAUUCGUGGUGUAGCGGUGAAAUGCUUAGAUAUCACGAAGAACCCCGAUUGCAAAGGCAGCUUACUAAACUGUGACUGACAUUGAUGCUCGAAAGUGUGGGUAUCAAACAGGAUUAGAUACCCGAGUAGUC
Molecule: ribosomal RNA, 460 nt
Filed under: uncultured bacterium
Lineage: Bacteria
Description: partial 16S ribosomal RNA
Rfam family: Bacterial small subunit ribosomal RNA
Source: RNAcentral